CAGCAGCCACGGUAAUACGAAGGGUGCAAGCGUUAAUCGGAAUUACUGGGCGUAAAGGGUGCGUAGGCGGUUGUUUAAGUCUGUUGUGAAAUCCCCCGGCUCAACCGGGGAGGGUCAUUGGAAACUGGGAAACUUGAGUGCAGAAGAGGAGAGUGGAAUUCCCGGUGUAGCGGUGAAAUGCGUAGAGAUGUGGAGGAACACCAGUGGCGAAGGCGACUCUCUGGUCUGUAACUGACGCUGAGGAGCGAAAGCGUGGGGAGCGAACAGGAUUAGAUACCCCCGUAGUCCCUGUCUCUUAUAC
RNAcentral lists this ribosomal RNA (301 nucleotides) under uncultured bacterium. Its description in RNAcentral is "partial 16S ribosomal RNA". It matches the Rfam family "Bacterial small subunit ribosomal RNA", at positions 509 to 807 of the family's 1533-position model. The record is from RNAcentral.